Molecule: transfer RNA, 96 nt
Filed under: Fidelibacterota bacterium
Lineage: Bacteria; Pseudomonadati; Fidelibacterota
Description: tRNA-Sec
Rfam family: Selenocysteine transfer RNA
Source: RNAcentral
GGGAAUGAUUGCGAGGCUGGUGCCCGCCGCGGUCUUCAAAACCGUUGUCCCGCCGGAGAGGUGGGAGGUGAGUUCGAUUCUCACACGUUCCCGCUA